Molecule: ribosomal RNA, 454 nt
Filed under: uncultured bacterium
Lineage: Bacteria
Description: bacterial SSU rRNA
Rfam family: Bacterial small subunit ribosomal RNA
Source: RNAcentral
UACGGAAGGCAGCAGUGGGGAAUAUUGCACAAUGGGCGCAAGCCUGAUGCAGCCAUGCCGCGUGUAUGAAGAAGGCCUUCGGGUUGUAAAGUACUUUCAGCGGGGAGGAAGGCGAUGCGGUUAAUAACCGCGUCGAUUGACGUUACCCGCAGAAGAAGCACCGGCUAACUCCGUGCCAGCAGCCGCGGUAAUACGGAGGGUGCAAGCGUUAAUCGGAAUUACUGGGCGUAAAGCGCACGCAGGCGGUCUGUUAAGUCAGAUGUGAAAUCCCCGGGCUUAACCUGGGAACUGCAUUUUGAAACUGGCAGGCUUGAGUCUUGUAGAGGGGGUGAAUUCCAGGUGUAGCGGUGAAAUGCGUAGAGAUCUGGAGGAAUCCGGUGGCGAAGGCGGCCCCUGGGCAAAGCUGACGCUCAGGGUGCGAAAGCGUGGGGAGCGAAACAGGGAUUAGGAUACC